GACGAACGCUGGCGGCGUGCCUAAUACAUGCAAGUCGAGCGAAGUUUUUCUGGUGCUUGCACUAGAAAAACUUAGCGGCGAACGGGUGAGUAACACGUAAAGAACCUGCCUCAUAGACUGGGACAACUAUUGGAAACGAUAGCUAAUACCGGAUAACAGCAUUAACUGCAUGGUUGAUGUUUAAAAGUUGGUUUUGCUAACACUAUGAGAUGGCUUUGCGGUGCAUUAGCUAGUUGGUGGGGUAAAGGCCUACCAAGGCGACGAUGCAUAGCCGACCUGAGAGGGUGAUCGGCCACACUGGGACUGAGACACGGCCCAGACUCCUACGGGAGGCAGCAGUAGGGAAUCUUCCGCAAUGGGCGAAAGCCUGACGGAGCAACGCCGCGUGAGUGAAGAAGGAUUUCGGUUCGUAAAGCUCUGUUGUUAGGGAAGAAUGAUUGUGUAGUAACUAUACACAGUAGAGACGGUACCUAACCAGAAAGCCACGGCUAACUACGUGCCAGCAGCCGCGGUAAUACGUAGGUGGCAAGCGUUGUCCGGAAUUAUUGGGCGCAAAGCGCGCGCAGGUGGUUUAAUAAGUCUGAUGUGAAAGCCCACGGCUCAACCGUGGAGGGUCAUUGGAAACUGUUAAACUUGAGUGCAGGAGAGAAAAGUGGAAUUCCUAGUGUAGCGGUGAAAUGCGUAGAGAUUAGGAGGAACACCAGUGGCGAAGGCGGCUUUUUGGCCUGUAACUGACACUGAGGCGCGAAAGCGUGGGGAGCAAACAGG
This 768-nucleotide ribosomal RNA is filed under the name uncultured bacterium. Its description in RNAcentral is "bacterial SSU rRNA". It matches the Rfam family "Bacterial small subunit ribosomal RNA", at positions 28 to 776 of the family's 1533-position model. The record is from RNAcentral.